GUCCACGCCCUAAACGAUGUCUACUAGUUGUCGGGUUUUAAUUAACUUGGUAACGCAGCUAACGCGUGAAGUAGACCGCCUGGGGAGUACGGUCGCAAGAUUAAAACUCAAAGGAAUUGACGGGGACCCGCACAAGCGGUGGAUGAUGUGGAUUAAUUCGAUGCAACGCGAAAACCUUACCUACCCUUGACAUGGCAGGAAUCCCUGAGAGAUUGGGGAGUGCUCGAAAGAGAACCUGCACACAGGUGCUGCAUGGCUGUCGU
RNAcentral lists this ribosomal RNA (263 nucleotides) under uncultured bacterium. Its description in RNAcentral is "partial 16S ribosomal RNA". It matches the Rfam family "Bacterial small subunit ribosomal RNA", at positions 793 to 1055 of the family's 1533-position model. The record is from RNAcentral.